RNAcentral lists this ribosomal RNA (2902 nucleotides) under Escherichia coli UMEA 3240-1. RNAcentral's name for it is "bacterial LSU rRNA". It matches the Rfam family "Bacterial large subunit ribosomal RNA". Lineage: Bacteria; Pseudomonadati; Pseudomonadota; Gammaproteobacteria; Enterobacterales; Enterobacteriaceae. The record is from RNAcentral.
UUAAGCGACUAAGCGUACACGGUGGAUGCCCUGGCAGUCAGAGGCGAUGAAGGACGUGCUAAUCUGCGAUAAGCGUCGGUAAGGUGAUAUGAACCGUUAUAACCGGCGAUUUCCGAAUGGGGAAACCCAGUGUGAUUCGUCACACUAUCAUUAACUGAAUCCAUAGGUUAAUGAGGCGAACCGGGGGAACUGAAACAUCUAAGUACCCCGAGGAAAAGAAAUCAACCGAGAUUCCCCCAGUAGCGGCGAGCGAACGGGGAGCAGCCCAGAGCCUGAAUCAGUGUGUGUGUUAGUGGAAGCGUCUGGAAAGGCGCGCGAUACAGGGUGACAGCCCCGUACACAAAAAUACACAUACUGUGAGCUCGAUGAGUAGGGCGGGACACGUGGUAUCCUGUCUGAAUAUGGGGGGACCAUCCUCCAAGGCUAAAUACUCCUGACUGACCGAUAGUGAACCAGUACCGUGAGGGAAAGGCGAAAAGAACCCCGGCGAGGGGAGUGAAAAAGAACCUGAAACCGUGUACGUACAAGCAGUGGGAGCACGCUUAGGCGUGUGACUGCGUACCUUUUGUAUAAUGGGUCAGCGACUUAUAUUCUGUAGCAAGGUUAACCGAAUAGGGGAGCCGAAGGGAAACCGAGUCUUAACUGGGCGUUAAGUUGCAGGGUAUAGACCCGAAACCCGGUGAUCUAGCCAUGGGCAGGUUGAAGGUUGGGUAACACUAACUGGAGGACCGAACCGACUAAUGUUGAAAAAUUAGCGGAUGACUUGUGGCUGGGGGUGAAAGGCCAAUCAAACCGGGAGAUAGCUGGUUCUCCCCGAAAGCUAUUUAGGUAGCGCCUCGUGAAUUCAUCUCCGGGGGUAGAGCACUGUUUCGGCAAGGGGGUCAUCCCGACUUACCAACCCGAUGCAAACUGCGAAUACCGGAGAAUGUUAUCACGGGAGACACACGGCGGGUGCUAACGUCCGUCGUGAAGAGGGAAACAACCCAGACCGCCAGCUAAGGUCCCAAAGUCAUGGUUAAGUGGGAAACGAUGUGGGAAGGCCCAGACAGCCAGGAUGUUGGCUUAGAAGCAGCCAUCAUUUAAAGAAAGCGUAAUAGCUCACUGGUCGAGUCGGCCUGCGCGGAAGAUGUAACGGGGCUAAACCAUGCACCGAAGCUGCGGCAGCGACGCUUAUGCGUUGUUGGGUAGGGGAGCGUUCUGUAAGCCUGUGAAGGUGUGCUGUGAGGCAUGCUGGAGGUAUCAGAAGUGCGAAUGCUGACAUAAGUAACGAUAAAGCGGGUGAAAAGCCCGCUCGCCGGAAGACCAAGGGUUCCUGUCCAACGUUAAUCGGGGCAGGGUGAGUCGACCCCUAAGGCGAGGCCGAAAGGCGUAGUCGAUGGGAAACAGGUUAAUAUUCCUGUACUUGGUGUUACUGCGAAGGGGGGACGGAGAAGGCUAUGUUGGCCGGGCGACGGUUGUCCCGGUUUAAGCGUGUAGGCUGGUUUUCCAGGCAAAUCCGGAAAAUCAAGGCUGAGGCGUGAUGACGAGGCACUACGGUGCUGAAGUAACAAAUGCCCUGCUUCCAGGAAAAGCCUCUAAGCAUCAGGUAACAUCAAAUCGUACCCCAAACCGACACAGGUGGUCAGGUAGAGAAUACCAAGGCGCUUGAGAGAACUCGGGUGAAGGAACUAGGCAAAAUGGUGCCGUAACUUCGGGAGAAGGCACGCUGAUAUGUAGGUGAAGCGACUUGCUCGUGGAGCUGAAAUCAGUCGAAGAUACCAGCUGGCUGCAACUGUUUAUUAAAAACACAGCACUGUGCAAACACGAAAGUGGACGUAUACGGUGUGACGCCUGCCCGGUGCCGGAAGGUUAAUUGAUGGGGUCAGCGCAAGCGAAGCUCUUGAUCGAAGCCCCGGUAAACGGCGGCCGUAACUAUAACGGUCCUAAGGUAGCGAAAUUCCUUGUCGGGUAAGUUCCGACCUGCACGAAUGGCGUAAUGAUGGCCAGGCUGUCUCCACCCGAGACUCAGUGAAAUUGAACUCGCUGUGAAGAUGCAGUGUACCCGCGGCAAGACGGAAAGACCCCGUGAACCUUUACUAUAGCUUGACACUGAACAUUGAGCCUUGAUGUGUAGGAUAGGUGGGAGGCUUGGAAGUGUGGACGCCAGUCUGCAUGGAGCCGACCUUGAAAUACCACCCUUUAAUGUUUGAUGUUCUAACGUUGACCCGUAAUCCGGGUUGCGGACAGUGUCUGGUGGGUAGUUUGACUGGGGCGGUCUCCUCCUAAAGAGUAACGGAGGAGCACGAAGGUUGGCUAAUCCUGGUCGGACAUCAGGAGGUUAGUGCAAUGGCAUAAGCCAGCUUGACUGCGAGCGUGACGGCGCGAGCAGGUGCGAAAGCAGGUCAUAGUGAUCCGGUGGUUCUGAAUGGAAGGGCCAUCGCUCAACGGAUAAAAGGUACUCCGGGGAUAACAGGCUGAUACCGCCCAAGAGUUCAUAUCGACGGCGGUGUUUGGCACCUCGAUGUCGGCUCAUCACAUCCUGGGGCUGAAGUAGGUCCCAAGGGUAUGGCUGUUCGCCAUUUAAAGUGGUACGCGAGCUGGGUUUAGAACGUCGUGAGACAGUUCGGUCCCUAUCUGCCGUGGGCGCUGGAGAACUGAGGGGGGCUGCUCCUAGUACGAGAGGACCGGAGUGGACGCAUCACUGGUGUUCGGGUUGUCAUGCCAAUGGCACUGCCCGGUAGCUAAAUGCGGAAGAGAUAAGUGCUGAAAGCAUCUAAGCACGAAACUUGCCCCGAGAUGAGUUCUCCCUGACCCCUUAAGAGUCCUGAAGGAACGUUGAAGACGACGACGUUGAUAGGCCGGGUGUGUAAGCGCAGCGAUGCGUUGAGCUAACCGGUACUAAUGAACCGUGAGGCUUAACCUU